CCUACGGUGCGCAGCAGUCGAGAAUCAUUCACAAUGGGGGAAACCCUGAUGGUGCGACGCCGCGUGGGGGAAUGAAGGUCUUCGGAUUGUAAACCCCUGUCAUGUGGGCGCAAAUUAAAAAGAUAGUACCACAAGAGGAAGAGACGGCUAACUCUGUGCCAGCAGCCGCGGUAAUACAGAGGUCUCAAGCGUUGUUCGGAAUCAUUGGGCGUAAAGCGUGCGUAGGCUGUUUCGUAAGUCGUGUGUGAAAGGCGCGGGCUCAACCCGCGGACGGCACAUGAUACUGCGAGAUUAGAGUAAUGGAGGGGGAACCGGAAUUCUCGGUGUAGCAGUGAAAUGCGUAGAUAUCGAGAGGAACACUCGUGGCGAAGGCGGGUUCCUGGACAUUAACUGACGCUGAGGCACGAAGGCCAGGGGAGCGAAAGGGAUUAGAUACCCUUGUAGUC
Molecule: ribosomal RNA, 446 nt
Filed under: uncultured bacterium
Lineage: Bacteria
Description: partial 16S ribosomal RNA
Rfam family: Bacterial small subunit ribosomal RNA
Source: RNAcentral